RNAcentral lists this transfer RNA (82 nucleotides) under Daphnia pulex (common water flea). It matches the Rfam family "tRNA". From Rfam's summary of the family: Transfer RNA (tRNA) molecules are approximately 80 nucleotides in length. Their secondary structure includes four short double-helical elements and three loops (D, anti-codon, and T loops). The record is from Rfam by way of RNAcentral. Lineage: Eukaryota; Metazoa; Arthropoda; Branchiopoda; Diplostraca; Daphniidae.
GAUAGUAUGGCCGAGUGGUCUAUGGCGCUGGUUUUAGCCACCAGUCUCUUCGGAGGCAAAGGUUUGGAUCCCUUCACUGUCA